GAUGAACGCUGGCGGCGUGCCUAAUACAUGCAAGUCGAGCGAACGGACGAGAAGCUUGCUUCUCUGAUGUUAGCGGCGGACGGGUGAGUAACACGUGGAUAACCUACCUAUAAGACUGGGAUAACUUCGGGAAACCGGAGCUAAUACCGGAUAAUAUUUUGAACCGCAUGGUUCAAAAGUGAAAGACGGUCUUGCUGUCACUUAUAGAUGGAUCCGCGCUGCAUUAGCUAGUUGGUAAGGUAACGGCUUACCAAGGCAACGAUGCAUAGCCGACCUGAGAGGGUGAUCGGCCAGACUGGAACUGAGGCACGGCCCAGACUCCUACGGGAGGCAGCAGUAGGGAAUCUUCCGCAAUGGGCGAAAGCCUGACGGAGCAACGCCGCGUGAGUGAUGAAGGUCUUCGGAUCGUAAAACUCUGUUAUUAGGGAAGAACAUAUGUGUAAGUAACUGUGCACAUCUUGACGGUACCUAAUCAGAAAGCCACGGCUAACUACGUG
This 497-nucleotide ribosomal RNA is filed under the name uncultured bacterium. RNAcentral's name for it is "partial 16S ribosomal RNA". It matches the Rfam family "Bacterial small subunit ribosomal RNA", at positions 28 to 507 of the family's 1533-position model. The record is from RNAcentral.